RNAcentral lists this ribosomal RNA (63 nucleotides) under Triticum aestivum (bread wheat). Its description in RNAcentral is "partial small subunit ribosomal RNA". The record is from RNAcentral. Lineage: Eukaryota; Viridiplantae; Streptophyta; Magnoliopsida; Poales; Poaceae.
AUGUGGUUGCGAUCUUCGUGUCCCACUACAGGUUAUUCGAGUGCGUCCUCGACUCCGAGCUAG